Molecule: long non-coding RNA, 939 nt
Filed under: Heterocephalus glaber (naked mole-rat)
Lineage: Eukaryota; Metazoa; Chordata; Mammalia; Rodentia; Bathyergidae
Description: lncRNA (ENSHGLG00100035044.1)
Source: RNAcentral
GGAAGCCGGCCCAGCAGGUUCUCAGAUCUGCACUUUCUUCCUCUCUCGGUGUUUGCAUCUUCCUGGUACCCUCAAAUCCAAAACGAGUCAUCUCUGCAGCAAAUCAGGUCAUUUCCUGCACCACGCUGACUGUGAAGGCUUCGAGGGCUCCAGUUUGGGGACACCCGGACCUGGAUUAGAAGAAGCACCCUUGGGUCUCAUUUUCUUCCAUGGAUCCUCAAUUCCGUAAUCCUGGGGGUUGUGCUGCACCUUGCCAUCUGGAGCGGAGCCUGGAGAGGAGGCGGUAGUGCGGAUGGGAAGGUGGCGGCUGUGCUGCUGGCCUCCUGAGAGAGCAGCCCCACAAAGGAGGGAAGAGAGGCUGCUGGAAACUCGAACCUCAGGGGCAUAGAGCUUGCUGGCCUGGCUCCUGCCUCUGCCCUGGGCUGCGGUGGGACAGUCCCUGCCUGCUGCUUCCUUGGGGGACCAGGAGCAACAGCACGGCCCCCAGGAGCCCCCAGGAGGGGAGGGCCAGGAUGUCAGGCAUCACAGACAGGAAACAAGAGAGGAGGGGCUUCCUGCCCUUCCCCACCACACGCCCAUCCCAAGGCUGUGGCCUAGAGGAGCUUGGAGACUCCUAAGGAAGAAGCUCACGGACUCAGAGAUCAGACACCCAAGGGUGUCACUCCAUUAGAGCACGGAUGGGACAGCAUAAAGCCCAAGGCAGAACUAGAGGGACAGAUAGGUGAAACAGGACGGCCAAGAAACUGAGGCAAGGAGCCGAGUGCCCCAGGGCUGGAGCUUGGGGGGUGCAGCCCUUCGUUGGGAUGCGCAAGGCCUGGGUUCCAUCCCCAGCACCGGAAGGCAGCACGGAGCAAGAACAAGAGAUCAACGAGCCGCCUGGAAAUGGGGGAAGAGUACAGAGGGGCAGCAAACGCAGCGGAAGAGCGGACCCGUAAGGGA